RNAcentral lists this long non-coding RNA (316 nucleotides) under Arabidopsis lyrata. RNAcentral describes it as "long non-coding RNA (ALYR_LNC003439)". Lineage: Eukaryota; Viridiplantae; Streptophyta; Magnoliopsida; Brassicales; Brassicaceae. The record is from RNAcentral.
CAGGGUUUUUUUGCAUUAAUUCAUUUGGAUCCGGGUUUUACCUGGGUUUAACUCUAUCCGGAUCUUGGAUAAAAAAUUUUAGGAAGUUUGUAAUAAUUUUAAUCCCUUAUUUGGCCAAUCAUAAAUCGCAGAAUAAAUUUUGUUAAUAUUACCUAAACUAAUAGCCACAUUAAUCAUACCGUAAUAAAUUUUAUCUCUAAUUGAUUUCGAAUAUUUCCACAAUCUAAACUAAUUACUAUCACAUACCUUAUCUCAUCUAUUGUUCCUAAAAUCUUGCGUAAAUCUCGAUUUUAAAGAAACCAAUUACUCUAUAUAU